This 82-nucleotide transfer RNA is filed under the name Pseudomonas marginalis. Its description in RNAcentral is "tRNA-Glu". It matches the Rfam family "tRNA", at positions 9 to 71 of the family's 71-position model. Rfam says of the family: Transfer RNA (tRNA) molecules are approximately 80 nucleotides in length. Their secondary structure includes four short double-helical elements and three loops (D, anti-codon, and T loops). The record is from RNAcentral. Lineage: Bacteria; Pseudomonadati; Pseudomonadota; Gammaproteobacteria; Pseudomonadales; Pseudomonadaceae.
GGUCCAUGGGUGCUCUUGUGCGUAAUCAGGACACCGCCCUUUCACGGCGGUAACAGGGGUUCGAGUCCCCUAGGGGACGCCA